UACGUAGGGUGCAAGCGUUGUCCGGAAUUAUUGGGCGUAAAGAGCUCGUAGGCGGUCUGUCGCGUCGGAUGUGAAAACCCAGGGCUCAACCCUGGGCCGGCAUUCGAUACGGGCAGACUAGAAUUCGGUAGGGGAGUCUGGAAUUCCUGGUGUAGCGGUGAAAUGCGCAGAUAUCAGGAGGAACACCGGUGGCGAAGGCGGGACUCUGGGCCGAUAUUGACGCUGAGGAGCGAAAGCGUGGGGAGCGAACAGG
Molecule: ribosomal RNA, 253 nt
Filed under: uncultured bacterium
Lineage: Bacteria
Description: partial 16S ribosomal RNA
Rfam family: Bacterial small subunit ribosomal RNA
Source: RNAcentral